CUGUUUUUGCUUCUCUUUUAUUUCUGUCAGAAGAAUAUUGACUUUGAAAUUUUGCUUAGUUUACAUGUAUUAGUUUGUGUUUAGAUUUGUUUAAAGGCAACUACUUGUGAUAAGUCAAUGGGAUUUGGUAAGUAGGUCCGAGACCACAAUUGUCGUCCCUUGAUUAAUAUAGUCCCUAGUGUUAACAGUGGGUUACUUGCCAAUAAUUUUU
RNAcentral lists this long non-coding RNA (211 nucleotides) under Mytilus galloprovincialis (Mediterranean mussel). Lineage: Eukaryota; Metazoa; Mollusca; Bivalvia; Mytilida; Mytilidae. The record is from RNAcentral.